This 437-nucleotide ribosomal RNA is filed under the name Bacillus amyloliquefaciens. Its description in RNAcentral is "bacterial SSU rRNA". It matches the Rfam family "Bacterial small subunit ribosomal RNA", at positions 140 to 562 of the family's 1533-position model. Lineage: Bacteria; Bacillati; Bacillota; Bacilli; Caryophanales; Bacillaceae. The record is from RNAcentral.
GGGAUAACUCCGGGAAACCGGGGCUAAUACCGGAUGGUUGUUUGAACCGCAUGGUUCAGACAUAAAAGGUGGCUUCGGCUACCACUUACAGAUGGACCCGCGGCGCAUUAGCUAGUUGGUGAGGUAACGGCUCACCAAGGCGACGAUGCGUAGCCGACCUGAGAGGGUGAUCGGCCACACUGGGACUGAGACACGGCCCAGACUCCUACGGGAGGCAGCAGUAGGGAAUCUUCCGCAAUGGACGAAAGUCUGACGGAGCAACGCCGCGUGAGUGAUGAAGGUUUUCGGAUCGUAAAGCUCUGUUGUUAGGGAAGAACAAGUGCCGUUCAAAUAGGGCGGCACCUUGACGGUACCUAACCAGAAAGCCACGGCUAACUACGUGCCAGCAGCCGCGGUAAUACGUAGGUGGCAAGCGUUGUCCGGAAUUAUUGGGGCGG